Molecule: ribosomal RNA, 1299 nt
Filed under: Triticum aestivum (bread wheat)
Lineage: Eukaryota; Viridiplantae; Streptophyta; Magnoliopsida; Poales; Poaceae
Description: partial small subunit ribosomal RNA
Source: RNAcentral
AUGGCUCGUCGUGCUGUGGAGGCACUGCUCGUCAUCUGGUUCCUCCUCCUACCCCUCACGGCAUCGAGCUUCCUCGUCACAGAGAGCAGGCGCCGGUCCGGCGAGACUGGCGACGAGGUGCUCGGCAUCGCACUCGGCGCGACACACUCGUGCAUUGCCACCGUACACCCGGACGGCUCCAUCAAGAUCGUCCCCGACGACCAGGGCAACCGCGUCACCCCCGCGUGGGUCGCCUUCACCGACGACGGACAGAGGCUCGUCGGCGAGGCCGCCAGGGACCAGUACGCCGCCAACCCGAACCGCACCAUCUAUGGCGCCAGGCGCCUCCUGGGACGGCGGUUCAGCGACGCCGACCUGCAGCGGGGCGUGGAGACCUUGCCGUACGCCGUCGUCGACCGGGACGGGAUGCCGUACGUCCGGGUGGAGGUGGGCGAGGACGACGUGCGGUUGCUCAGGCCCGUGGAGAUCACUGCCGCGGUGUUCGCAGACAUGAUGGACAGGGCGGCGGCCCACCUGGGCAGGAAGGUCACGCGGGCGGUGCUCACCCUGCCCGCCCACUACACCGGCGCGCAGCUGUACGCUACCAAGCAGGCCGGCAUCCUCGCCGGCCUCGACGUCCUCCGCUUGGUAAGGGAGCCCGUCACCGCCGCCAUCGCCUACGGCCUCGACAAGCAUAGGGGCGACGCGAGGAACAUCCUCGUGUUCGACCUCGGCGGCAGCACGCUCGACGUCGCCGUGCUCACCCUCGACCAAGGCAUGUUCGAGACCAUGGCGAGCCGCAGCGACGCCCACCUCGGCGGUGACGACUUCGACCGGCGAAUCGCGGGCUACUUCGUCGAGCUGAUCCAGCGGAAGCACGGCCGGGACGUCACCGGCGACGACCGCGCGAUGCACAGGCUGCUGCGGGAGUGCGAGCGCGCCAAACGGGCGCUGAGCGACCAACACCAUGUGCUCGUGGAGCUCAAGGCGGUGUUGGAUGGCGUCGACCUAUCGGAGACGCUCACCAGGGUGCUGUUCGAGGAGCUCAACCAAGACCUCUUCUUGAAGACGAUGGCUUCGUUGAACAAGGCCUUGGAGGACGCCGAGCUGGAGAAGGGAGACAUCGACGAUGUCAUCCUCAUGGGCGGCAGCAGCAGGAUCCCCAUGGUGCGGCAGCUUGUCAAGGACUACUUCGACGGCAAGGAGCCCGUCAACGUUGACGGGAUCAACCCUGACGAGGCCGUCGCCUACGGGGCCGCAGUACAGGGGAGCUAUCUGACCGGACACCAUGACGACACGACAAGAUGUUUUUUGGGAUAG